This is a long non-coding RNA of Brienomyrus brachyistius, 646 nucleotides long. RefSeq lists it as uncharacterized. Lineage: Eukaryota; Metazoa; Chordata; Actinopteri; Osteoglossiformes; Mormyridae. The record is from RefSeq and is a predicted model, not a curated record. The transcript has 3 exons.
CACGCGGCUUGAUGACGGUCGCAUGGCGCCCACUCGGCGUCCUAAGAAAGCGCAGGUCAAAUGAUUGGCGCGUGGUGUAACUAAAACACGGGCAUGUAAUUAGGACAUGAUAAUACCUUAUUCUUCUUCCCACAUUGUAACAUUGUUUCUACCAGGAUGUCGACUAACGUGGAAAAAGCGAUGGAAGAAUAUGAGGCGGCCUGUGCAGAAUUAUCCGAAGAGCUGAGUGUGCUGUCAGGAAAGCUGACUACUCUGUUGCGCCUGCAGAACAGCCUCAUGACCUCCAAUUCAGUACUGACCUCCUGGCUGCGAAACGCAGAAGAGCUGUGGAAACACGAGACUGACAAACGCCCCUCUGCAGACGCCUGAAGGUCACGGAUGUGAUAGGUGGUGACCUGGUCGUCUGGCAAACAAUCAAAGUGUUCAUUGAGGCUCCAUAUCUCGACACGCACUGGUCCUGGACAAUAAAAACGCAUCGAUUAAUAUGUCCAUUUACCUGUGCCCGUCGUACACGGGUUAACCACAAGGUGGAGCAAAAUGCCUACUUUUUUCCUUGUAUUUUAGGAUGCAGUUGUAUAAUUUUUUGCCAUGAUGUUUUCUGAGAGUAUUUUGUAAGUUCUAAAUAAAUGUACUGAAAGGAACCAAA